AAGUGCUAGUUGAAUAAGCUGGCACCUUGACGGUACCUAACCAGAAAGCCACGGCUAACUACGUGCCAGCAGCCGCGGUAAUACGUAGGUGGCAAGCGUUAUCCGGAAUUAUUGGGCGUAAAGCGCGCGCAGGUGGUUUCUUAAGUCUGAUGUGAAAGCCCACGGCUCAACCGUGGAGGGUCAUUGGAAACUGGGAGACUUGAGUGCAGAAGAGGAAAGUGGAAUUCCAUGUGUAGCGGUGAAAUGCGUAGAGAUAUGGAGGAACACCAGUGGCGAAGGCGACUUUCUGGUCUGUAACUGACACUGAGGCGCGAAAGCGUGGGGAGCAAACAGGAUUAGAUACCCUG
Molecule: ribosomal RNA, 347 nt
Filed under: Bacillus sp. (in: firmicutes)
Lineage: Bacteria; Bacillati; Bacillota; Bacilli; Caryophanales; Bacillaceae
Description: bacterial SSU rRNA
Rfam family: Bacterial small subunit ribosomal RNA
Source: RNAcentral